GACGAACGCUGGCGGCGUGCCUAAUACAUGCAAGUCGAGCGCAGGAAAUCGACGGAACCCUUCGGGGGGAAGUCGACGGAAUGAGCGGCGGACGGGUGAGUAACACGUAAAGAACCUGCCCUCAGGUCUGGGAUAACCACGAGAAAUCGGGGCUAAUACCGGAUGGGUCAUCGGACCGCAUGGUCCGAGGAUGAAAGGCGCUUCGGCGUCGCCUGGGGAUGGCUUUGCGGUGCAUUAGCUAGUCGGUGGGGUAAUGGCCCACCAAGGCGACGAUGCAUAGCCGCCCUGAGAGGGGGAUCGGCCACACUGGGACUGAGACACGGCCCAGACUCCUACGGGAGGCAGCAGUAGGGAAUCUUCCACAAUGGACGAAAGUCUGAUGGAGCAACGCCGCGUGAACGAUGAAGGCCUUCGGGUCGUAAAGUUCUGUUGUAAGGGAAGAACAAGUGCCGCAGGCAAUGGCGGCACCUUGACGGUACCUUGCGAGAAAGCCACGGCUAACUACGUGCCAGCCGCCGCCGUAA
RNAcentral lists this ribosomal RNA (524 nucleotides) under uncultured bacterium. RNAcentral's name for it is "partial 16S ribosomal RNA". It matches the Rfam family "Bacterial small subunit ribosomal RNA", at positions 28 to 523 of the family's 1533-position model. The record is from RNAcentral.